RNAcentral lists this small nuclear RNA (114 nucleotides) under Saimiri boliviensis boliviensis (Bolivian squirrel monkey). Its description in RNAcentral is "U1 spliceosomal RNA (ENSSBOG00000008364.1)". It matches the Rfam family "U1 spliceosomal RNA". Rfam says of the family: U1 is a small nuclear RNA (snRNA) component of the spliceosome (involved in pre-mRNA splicing). Its 5' end forms complementary base pairs with the 5' splice junction, thus defining the 5' donor site of an intron. Lineage: Eukaryota; Metazoa; Chordata; Mammalia; Primates; Cebidae. The record is from RNAcentral.
AUAUUUACCUGGCAGGGGAGAUACCAUGAUCAUAAAGGCAGUUUAUCUAAUUUUUGUGGGAAACUCUACUGCUUACUUUGUGGUAGUGGGGGACUGCAUUCAAGCUUUCCCCUG